AGUGGGAUAGCUGGGUCAAAUGUUGGUCCCAUUCCAAGUUUUCUAAAGAAUCUCCAAACUGCUUUCCAGAGUUGUUCCACCAGUUUGUAGUCCCACCAGCAAU
Molecule: microRNA precursor, 103 nt
Filed under: Marmota monax (woodchuck)
Lineage: Eukaryota; Metazoa; Chordata; Mammalia; Rodentia; Sciuridae
Source: RNAcentral